RNAcentral lists this ribosomal RNA (301 nucleotides) under uncultured bacterium. Its description in RNAcentral is "partial 16S ribosomal RNA". It matches the Rfam family "Bacterial small subunit ribosomal RNA", at positions 509 to 809 of the family's 1533-position model. The record is from RNAcentral.
CAGCAGCCGCGGGAAUACGAAGGGUGCAAGCGUUAAUCGGAAUUACUGGGCGUAAAGCGUGCGUAGGCGGUGAGUUAAGUCUGCUGUGAAAUCCCCGGGCUCAACCUGGGAAUGGCAGUGGAUACUGGCUCGCUAGAGUGUGUCAGAGGAUGGUGGAAUUCCCGGUGUAGCGGUGAAAUGCGUAGAGAUCGGGAGGAACAUCAGUGGCGAAGGCGGCCAUCUGGGACAACACUGACGCUGAGGCACGAAAGCGUGGGGAGCAAACAGGAUUAGAUACCCCCGUAGUCCCUGUCCUUAUACA